This 561-nucleotide ribosomal RNA is filed under the name uncultured Flavobacteriia bacterium. RNAcentral describes it as "bacterial SSU rRNA". It matches the Rfam family "Bacterial small subunit ribosomal RNA", at positions 8 to 570 of the family's 1533-position model. Lineage: Bacteria; Pseudomonadati; Bacteroidota; Flavobacteriia. The record is from RNAcentral.
AGAGUUUGAUCAUGGCUCAGGAUGAACGCUAGCGGCAGGCCUAACACAUGCAAGUCGAGGGGCAGCACGUCUUCGGAUGGUGGCGACCGGCGCACGGGUGCGUAACGCGUAUGCAACCUACCCUGUACUGAGGUAUAGCCCGGAGAAAUUCGGAUUAACCCCUCAUAGUAUUAAAGAAUCGCAUGAUUUUUUAAUUAAAGGUUACGGUGCAGGAUGGGCAUGCGUCCUAUUAGCUAGAUGGUAAGGUAACGGCUUACCAUGGCUACGAUAGGUAGGGGGCCUGAGAGGGUGGUCCCCCACACUGGUACUGAGACACGGACCAGACUCCUACGGGAGGCAGCAGUGAGGAAUAUUGGUCAAUGGGCGCAAGCCUGAACCAGCCAUGCCGCGUGCAGGAAGAAUGCCCUAUGGGUUGUAAACUGCUUUUAUUUAGGAAUAAACCUUUCUACGUGUAGGAAGCUGAAGGUACUGAAUGAAUAAGCACCGGCUAACUCCGUGCCAGCAGCCGCGGUAAUACGGAGGGUGCAAGCGUUAUCCGGAAUCCUUGGGUUUAAAGGGUCC